ACAGCACAUGCAUUAGCGGGAGUGGAAUCACAUUUCCAAGCACUGUGUCUUCUCCUCCUCCUCCUCUUCCAACUGAAUAUGCUCUUUCACAGUUCUUGGCAUAGCCCAGAAGUACCAAACCACAUAAACAUAUCCCACCAUAGCCUCGUGGUAAGACCACAAUGUAGAAGAAGAUGAUCCACAUCCUAGUUCGCUAGCACAUAUAACACCAAUUGACGCAGUCAACCUUCCACUUUCUAAGAUUUUCUGCCAUCAAGAUCACCUCUCUAGUAGCUAGAUCAGUGAAAAUACACACCAUCCUCAGCACCUUUGGUAUCCACAUUGCGCUGCAAAGGAAAACUUCCUCUUCCCCAACCAAAAGUUUCUCGUAAAAGGACUUGACGGAGAACAUUCUUUCUCAAACCCUAUCACAAAGCAUCGAGAUUAUCUACUGCUGUAACUUGGUUAUGGAGUAGAGCCAACAUUUUUUAAAACACAAUCACCUCGCAAUCACGGUAGUCUCUCCUAAAUCUCAAGUGCUAAAAAGUCUUUCCACCUUGUGUCCUCCUAAUUUGUUGUAUUAUCAAGUCUCUCUGGCAAGAUAUUCUGUAUAGGCUUGAAAACUCUUCUUUCAAUAAAUUAUUCCAACUCCACGUAUGAUCCCAAAAGUUAACUUUCCUCCAUUUCAAACCUUAAUGAGACAUUACUCGGUAAUGGUACUAUCCCUUAAUGAUGUUCCUCCGCUACCCACACCUAAAAUGCAUAGACAAAUCUCUAGAUCUCCACCCCUUUCUAUAGCCCCAUAUUUAUCGACUAUUAUCCCUCUCCAAGAAGCAUUUACCCCCAUCUCAAAUCUCUCCAACUAAUUACCCAGCAAGGUUUUCUUAAACACCUUUAAGUCUUUAAUACCAAGCGCUCCCCAUGUUUUAGGAGAUGUGACAGUCUCUACCCGCACCAAGUGACAUUUCCUUGCCCCUCCCGCCACGUCCCAAAGAAAUUUGUUUUUGGAUCCUUUCCAGCUUUCCUGUGACUGAAGAUGGAGCAUGAACAAAAGACAAGAAAUAGGUGGGAAUACUCGAUAAUGUGCUCUUGAUAAGCACUUCCUUGCCACCUUUGGACAAAUAUCUUUCUGUCGAAGCACCUAAAGGUAAUCCAAGAUCAACAGUUGGGAGAACCCCCCUGCAACUCAAAACCUGAUCAAGCGAUCGAACGCCCUCCUCCCUGACGGGUAUAAUCUCACACGUCAUUAAAUUAAUUUUAAGUCCUGACACCACCUGGAACCAAGUAAGCACUUUUUAAAAUAAUCCCGUUGGGUCACAUCUGCCAUACUGUUAAAGAAGUGGUGAUAACUUCUGUCAUUCCUCCUAAGCUUAAAAAUUCUCCCAACCAUAUCGUUAAAGAAGUGGUGCUAGCUUCAAAUCGGAUUAAUGCAAUACACUGUGGAUGGAUUAGGACUUUUAACAGAUAACUUGCUUCAAGAAGUCCAAGUGCAAAUACAACAACAACAACAUACCCAGUAUAUUCCCAGAAAGUGGGGUAAGAAGUCCAAGUGCAAAUAUGAACUUAAUUCAAUGUAGUAGAAAAACGUUACCCAAGCUUGCAAGAACCUUGACCUAGUACGUGCGGCAACAGCUGCAGACACCAUUCUUGCAGCCCGAGUACUCUCAAGUCCAACAUUAUCAGCAAGCCCAGCAACGAACUUUUGUGCUUCCUCGCCAUCAAUUAGAACAAAAGCUGACUGACUUGCAGUGCUGCAGAAGAGCAAAGUAGAGGAAGUUUAAGAGGGUAAAAAGAUGCAAAAGCAGAUUUAGCAAUCAGCCAUCAAGCUAAAUGGACUACCUUUCACAAUAAUUAAGAACAAAGUCGACUGCCACGCGAUAAAGGGUAUCACGUGCAUUCUCAGUAUCAAAUGAAACUUUCACGUUUGAUAUCCUCCCUAUGCGCCGUAACUACAAAUGGACCAGCAUGUUAGCAUAAAUUAGAGCAUAACUUAUGCCUUGGAAAAUAAAAUAUCAUAAUGAAGUUGAACAAUUCUUUAAUCGUUUUCUCCAGUUAAGUGACAGAUUUUUAAAAAGAAAAAGAGGAACUGAGACAGUACCACGCAAAAUAAAGAGGCUAUCUAACUUGUAGUUUCACCAAAGUUGUUUGAAAGAUCGGUAAAGACAGCUAUAUACAGGAAAAGCAUUCACAUAUACACACACACACAUACACACACUCUUGCCUUUUCUGGAUUCCCGUACCACACUGCCUUCCAAAUAAAAAAGGCCAUGUAACAUGUAAUACCACUGUAAUUUCAAGGUUCAGAAAGCAUGGAAAUUGGCAAGGACAACAUUAUACAGGUAAAAUAAACCACACCCCUCAUGCUUUCCUGGUUGCCCUACCACACUGCAACAGAAAGUAGCAUGGGUCCUAGAUCACUAUUUUGACUUGUUAAGUCUUUCGAUCGACAGACUAAACUGAAACCAUCCCAGUUUAAAGAUCUAUGUUCUCUGAAAAGAAAAUGUAUCCACUGGGUGCUUCCACCAGCUCCACUCUCCCACUAUCCCUAGGGAAUACCUCAGUUCGCAAAAAAAAAUAAAAAAUCUCAACGCACUUAUUAGAAAAAAUUCCUUAUGAUGUAAAUUUAUCACAAAAGGAAGAAAGAUCUAUAUGUGAUGUCCAUUGAUCUAGAGAAAGCAUAUGAUAUUAAAUAUAUAAACGUCAUAAAGGACAUGUCUGAAGAAGCUAUCAUUAGCACGAAACUGGUAGUAUCUCACAACAAUGGGUCUACACCACGGAUAGGCAUUGAGCCCCUAUUUUUUUACCCUGGUUAUGUAUGAGCUAACCAACACAAUAGAAGAUGAGGUCUGGUAGCGCAUGUUAUUUGCUAAUGGUAUUGUGUACUGUUAAUAGACAAAUUUAGUGACGGUCUCGACCAAAAGCAUGAACUACGGUCUCGACCAAAAGCAUGAACUAUCAUGAACCACCUUAGCAAGUAAGGGUUUUAUGAUAAGUAGAGGUAAGACAGAAUAGGUGCAUUGCAAACAGUUUUGAUAUAUAGGCUCAUUUUUCUAGAAAAUGAAAUGAUAGACGAGCGUUGAAAAUGCUAAGAUGGUAUGCAGUCAUGCAAGAUUAAAUAUGAUUCAAAAUAACCACAUCGGACAAAAUGUGUAAGUUGCAUGCAUUGAGGAUAAAUGAGGAAAGACCCAUAAAGAUGGUAUGGCAUGUCCUGCAACAAUUUAAAGAUGCACCAGUCCAUAGGUGUGAAACCAUGGUGAAUGAAAGUGUCAAAACGGGAUGGAUAGACCUAAAACCACAUGGAGGGAAUUUUGUCUCGAAAAGCUGAAAAGCCUACAAAUUCUUGGCAUUAAUCAGACUCGGUUAAAGAUAAGUGCACAAUGGAGAAAAAUGUCUAUAUAGGUGAUAUGUACUAGUCGGGAACAAGUUCUAGUCUUGUUAGGAACUUGUAAUAGUAUUACUAUUAUCUGUAUCUGUUUAAUUUAUUUUGUUUGGUAUGAUAACGACAUGGCUUGAGCUUAAGGGUGUGUUUGGAGCGGAGGAAAACUUUUUUUUUUGUGAUCAGGUAAACAUUCUUUCAUUCAUAGGUCCUAACUAGUCUGGGACUAACGAAUUUUUGUUUUUUUCUUAUGCCUAUUAGCUUUGCAUCAACAUUUUAAUUUCUACUAGUUCUUGCCAUCAUGACAACCACGGAGUUACCUUAUCAUUAUCACUGAAAUCUUUUACUUGAUUAGAAAAACAACAACCAUGGAGUCCAUCAUAACAUAACACUCUAUUAUGCAUCCACAAAGCAUAAAAAGACUAACCAAACUAAGCACAUUGAACAGAAAGGUCCGCUAUUCCAACUAAAUAAAACCAAAAAAAAAAGGUACUUCCAUAAAACUUAGUGUCAAAUGAGCGGGGGUUGGGUUGAAUUUGGGCGAGCAAAAUGGGAUGAGUUAAUAAAAUGCUAUACUCCACUUCCCAAUUGUCGACUACUAUACCUGCUGGCUUCUCCUACAACAGAAAGUUCAAAAAGAAAAUAAAAGGGAGGACAAGAAAGAUUGAGUUUAGUGUGGCUGUGGCAUUGUUAAAAGACUUUGAUAAUGUGGUUACUUCAUUCUUAAAAUUUCCUUUCCUGAAAUGGAGCUCACAUUCCCAUAUAUUUAUGUAUAUAAUUGCAAAUUUGCAAGUUCGAGAUGCUGCUUGGAGCAAAUGGUCUAGUGACAAAUUCAUUAAAUAUAAAGGGGACUGUAAACUAAAGCAAACAACUAAACAAGUAUGCAAACAAUUUACACUUGUAUAAAAAUAAAGAUAGUGAAAACAGAGAAGCCAUUAACAUACUGACUUGAAUAAUGUCAUCCGCCAAAAUGUCCCUCCCUGUCAUUCUAUUGUCCAAGAUGGCUGGAAAGCAAAUUUGUAAACUGUGAUUUAAAAGGAAAUGCAUAACUAAACAAUCAACGUGGAAGUUUGAAAACCUCAAGAUCAUACAUUUUCCAAUAUGAAACACAAAACGCAAUAGCUACAUAUAUGACAUAUAAUUCAAUUGAAUCUAAAAUCCAAUUAUAUGUUAACUAUGUUGCAGCAGAAAAAAUGCAUUUUAAAUUCACUCUCCAGAAUGUGUAACAGACCUUUUUGAUAAGGGUGUGGUAACAGACUAAGAAGCCACUAGGACAAGCUAUUACCUCCAAACGAGAAAAUAAACAAGUUGUGCAGACAUUACAGAUUUGCUUAACUUUAUACUUGAAGGAUCAAGAUAGACCAGCCCCCAAACUAAGGGACCCUUUGUGUUAAAGUUCACUCUUUUACAGCUAUUAUAUGCAUUGGAGAGUGUGCCCAGGGUUCUAGUUCUAGUUAAAGCUUCUAGUAAUGAUUAUCAUACUAGGAGUUCUAGUUCAAGGGAUUAAACAAUAUGAUAAUUCAGAUACGAAAGAACAGGAGCACACCUAAGAAUAGCCUGGAAAAUAAAAUUACCUCGAAUCAAUCUAUUGGCCAUUCUCUGAUACUCUUCUUGAUUCUCUGCCCCAACUUGAUCCGAACCAGAACUCGAAACAGGCCACCAUUUCGGCAACUGCUCCACCGAACUCUUCUUCUUUCGCCUCCUAAUUCGACUGGCCCAACCCCAAUUACUGUUCACGUCAUCACCAUCCAACACAUUAGGUUUCUUCCUAUCAACCGUGAUCUCAUUUUUAGCAACAAGUACUUCUCUUCCACCCAAACUACGGUCUCUUUUAUACACUAAUUCAACAUUGUUGUUUCGGGUGUUGUGUCGUAACCCCAGCACUAGCUUAAAAAUAGUUCUAAGAGUGAAAAUAACUAAGAAACUGGUGAGUAAUAGAGUUCCUACGAAUUUAACAGUGGUCCUUCUGCAGGAGAAGAGAAGUCUGCCGUCAUUACUAUCAAUACGGAUGAGAGUUUGCAAGUCGUCAAUGGCAGCUCGGCCUGAGUGGACGAAUUCAUCGAGCUUGGAGUGAAGAAGGUCCUUGAAUGAGUAUAAGGAUUUGGUAGGCAAAUUAUCGACGGUAAGGAUGAAUUGGAGAUUUUGAUCGGACGGUGGAGCUUCUUCAAUGGUGAACUUUUUAUGGAGGAGACGGCGGCGGAAGUGGCGGCGACGGGGAGGAGAGGAGGAGAGUCGGCGAGAAAUGAGAAGGCAAUAACGACAUCGUUUUGGGAUGGAGGGAGAGAGAGAGAUGAUACUAUAGAGAGAGAGGUUCAUGGCAUUUGUGUCAGAUGAAAAUCUCAACUCUUUUCAUUGUUACUACGACGACCAACAGCAGAUAAGUACACGAGACAAAAAAUAAAUACACUACGCCUCUUUUUUUUUUUUUUUUUUUUUAUACACCAUGAUAACUCGUGAACACUAUCAUAGCCUCAGCUCGAUCCGGAAGACAUUAUGGCAAGUAGGCAUGCGACAUGCUCGAUUCGAAAAAUAUUGAGACAGAUCUCUGUCAUAGCCGAAGAUCGAUUCUAGACCAUUCGUGUGAAUAACCAUUCUCCAAACUAAUACUCUCUGAGUUGUUAUUCCACCCAUUUAUGAUUUAUUAUAGUCAUAAGAAGAUCAGAUGAAAAGUUGCAAUUAAAAAGUUGAUAAAAAAUGAAGAGGUCGACGGAGAAAGAACAUAGAAUAAAUUGAAAUCGGAGUAGCAAGGAGAAGUAAACGUAUAGGUUUUCUACGCUGAGUAUAGUCUACUGUGUCCAUUAACUUCAUAUAUAGAUUAAUUUAACAAGAGUUUUAAAAGUACAGGAACAGCCAAAUAUCUAGUAUUUUGUUGUACAAUGUGCCAUCUUUUAUGCAAAGAGAUGAUGACAUCCUUCAGUACGUUAUAGGAUAACAAUCAAUAUUUUUGAGCCAUCCUUUUUUUUAGACCAGGAUAAACCAACAUCUCCUUGUAAAUAAACAUCAACAAAUUCUAUCGCACAGGUCUACGUCAUCAAAAUUCACUUGAUUACAAGAAUAUAUGAAAGAAUUGAUAACUGUUUACAACAAAAUCAAUGUAUAACACUACACAUGUCUCUUUGUAAAUGGUAUGUAACUUAUACAACAUUGGUAGCUUGUAUAUGUAUUGCAUGACAACUAUACUCCUGUUGUCUACCUAAAACUCAUCCAUCAACACAUCUUUCUGUCCAGACGAACAAUCCCGGAAGCAGAAGGAUUGACCAACUUUUGGAGAGAAGAAAAGAGAAACAUCACGACUGUUUCUUCCCUUAUUUGUUCUGGAUAUUACACUGAAUAACCUUGUAUUCUACUCUCCCCGUAAAUGCUCACCACCAAAUACGCUAGAGAUGAACUACAAUAACAAUUCUCCGGUAAGCAAAUUGUAUUUACAGAAGGAAAAAAGGUCUAAUUACAAUAAACAAAUACCAUAUCCAGGAACAGAGUUUUCAAGACCAACAAAUACUAAGACAUGCAGGAUAAAGUUCUCACGUCAAUCUGGUGGUAGAAGAUGCAUUUUAGUUGUAAAUCAUUCGACAUAGUUGGAAUCUGACAACGCCAACGACAUUAACUUAGCUUCUUGGUGUCUAUAUCUAUAUCUCAUAACAUGGCUAACUGAAAAUAGCAUAACUUACUGUACUCACCUUCAGAUUUAGAAACUACUUGAUGUAAAAAAGUUCUUUAAUAAGUGAAAAUAAAACAAAUUAAUUGCAUCUGUUGGUGGUGAAAUAAUAUAUUCUUCUUGAUUAGUUCUUUUCGUACAAAUCAGAAUAAAAGGAGAAACAGGACAUGAUGAACAUUCCCAUUAGAUGCCCAAGGUGCCAACUGAACUAUGCUAAUCUUCUUUUCAGUCCACCCACAUGUUGUCCAUGAAUAAGUGGUGCAACCAAGAAAUAUAUCCAUAAACAAUAAAACGUUUGAGCAUGGUCUUAAUUUAUGUGUAUCUAAGUUUAACAAAUUGGAUCAGAAAGUAUAGAAACAUAAGCAGACUUACAGUUCAAAUAAAGUCAUCUUGGAAGAAGUGGCUGUCUUUCAUCAGGCCCUACUCGAUGACUAGCCUGGAAAAGAAAUUUGCAUGAAAUCCGUCAAGUUAAGUAGGAAAUACAGAAAAACAGUAUCUAUAAAUUCCUGAUAAGAAAGAUCCAUACCUCCUCAUUUGCCCCUGCUGCUAUAUUUACGAAGGAUGAAUCUUUUGAGCUGAAAAUAAUAAAAUGGAAGUUGUAACAUAUGCAUCUUUUUAAACUUUAGGAGUGAGUAGGGGUCAAAAGGAGGGAUUGGCAGGAGUGAACAUGCAUCUCAGUGAUGUACAGCUUUCAAUAUUAACAAGUAAAGUAAAUACCGAUGGUUCUCCCGGGCAUCAAUCAGCUCCAAUGACCCGUUUUGCUGGUCAUCUUUAACUUUUGCAAGAGGUGAAAAGAACUGAAGUAUGAAAGUUGUAUGGUCAGUCCAAAGAGAAAAUUGGAAAUACCAGAGGGACAAUUAUCUCAAUUUUCGACAAUUAUCUCAAUUUUAAGAGAAAAUGGGAAAUACCAGAGGGACAAUUAUCUCAAUUUUAAUACCUGGUGCAUUGAGAUAAAAACAACAGAAAUCCCAAGAAGAAAGUUUGCAGUCAGUCUAUGACCAAACAACAAAGCAGAUGCUAUGCCUGUAAAUAUUGUUGCGACGGUCGAAGAGUACUUCUUCAGAAUCGUAUCUGGUACAAACAAAUUGUGUCAUAAAGUAGAAUAUCAUAAAGGAAAAAUGUUCUUGUUAAAACUGUUAUGGGUUACACAGAAGCACCAAGUAGAAACAUAUAACAACCCCAUUAAUAGAGCAUAUGAAGAGCAAAAAAAGGUGGAGCAAAUUGAGUAAUAAUCUAACCAGCAUAUUUGAAAAAGAAGGAUGAAAGAAUUCCUUGCGCCGCAUUGUUAACAAUUAGAAGCAUGGUUGCCUUCGAAUGCCCCUGAAAAAUAUCCAAACUACCAGGACCUGAAAAAUUCAGAAGAAACGUUACAGCGCCUGGAGGAAUAUUGUCCGACAAAGGCCUUACUCUGAAGUAAAAUCAUUUUUUUGAUUGAUAAACUGAAGUAGGAUCGUUUUGAUCCGUGAUCUCAUAUGUUGCAACUUCAAUUACCACGACGGAGAAGCUUUUCAAAACAAAGACACAGCUUUUGCACAGGGUACAAGCAUACACAUACAUUUCUUCAUGAGGGUUCCCUAUAACCACUCCACUCUUAUAGAGAAGAUACAUAUACAUUUGUAUUUUACCAUUAAGAGAUACUAUGAUUUUUGAUAAGAUUUGGACCACUAUGACGUUACAGUAACACGAUUUACACUCAGAGGGAGAAGUGAUGUCAUUUGCAAUUUUGUAUGUUUUCUCCUGGCGGUACAAUCCAGGGCAGGUGUAAUAGUGUGGUAUUUAUAACUAUAACAGUUAACUUGAAGAUGUUUCAUGAAAGCAAAGAUCUAAGAACUAUAAUGAUAUUAAGAUAGUAAAUUAAAAAUGUCAUUCUUUUCACAAAACUGUGAAAUCAGUAAAGUCCAGUGCAGGUAUUUAGUCAAUUGUUAUUUUUGCAUUGUCAAGUACCAAAUUGUGAAUUAUAGGAAAAGCCUCAGAAUCAACCCAUUACCUUUAAAUACAGCAAUCCCAAGAAUGGCUAGAAAGUUGAAUAUAGCGCCAUAUCCGUACAGAAAUAAGUUCUGCAAAUUAAACAGUAAUAUAUCAGAUGGUUCAGGAAGAGAGUACUGAUGAAAGUCACACUCAGUCACCCACUCUCUAUGAAUGGAGAAAUUAGCAUCAUCGCUGUUGCUAGAGAGACAAGAUCUGAAGUCCUACAACUGGACAAGUGAUGCUGCUCUAGGAAAAGAUCCUAGUACAAGUCGGAUAAGAAAAUAAGGCAAAGGAAAAAGCCAGCACAAACAGUGAAACUGAAAGAAAACCUUUUCUUAUGUUCAUCAUACCUAAGAAGUAUUCCAUAUGGAAUUAUAACUAAAUUACAAUGUUACAUGUUUAUCAUAAGAAUCAUAUUGAAUCUUAACUAAUUACUUUGUUACAUUUUUUCUUAUUCCCUUUUAGAAGGCAUUUGAAGUCAGAAUUUACCAUUGGCUAAUGUUCUUGGACAGAUCUUAAAUGUGCUAAGUCUCCAAAGAAUCAAAUGUUGCAGUAAACUGGCACUGUUAAGUACCUCAAGUAUAGGAACAUAAAAAUGGUACAUACAUUCAAAAGUAACAAACGUCCCGUGAAAGAAGGCAGAGGAAAAUAAUGAGCCAAUCUAACCACACAACAUUCUGAUGAUACAAAAUAAGAAAAAUGCUAAUCAUCCAUGGUGAACUUACCUGGAGAUAAAUGCUAGUGUCAUACUGACUCUUCAAAGCAUACUCAUUGAAUACUGAGGCCAUAGAAGGCACAGUGACCUGCGUAAAGAAAAAACUUCCCUUAGCCAGUAAUAAACUAGUACUUUAAAUGCUGUCCGGGCAUUUACUAAGGCCUUCUCAAAUAACAAACAGAAUAGAACCGGUAGUAGGUUGUUUAAAUUACUUACAAAAACCAGUGUGUAGAUGUACGCAAUUGUGGUGACUGGAAGAGCCAAUGAAGUGGCGCCUUCAGGAAGGGAUCGAAGUUGAUUAAUGCUGAUCCCAAUUAGCAACAGAGCAAGAGCCUCCCACUGUAACACAAUAAGUCCUAUUAUAUGGGUAUACAACUUCCCCUGCAAGAUCAAUAUUGCACCACCAGCUUAUUUUACUAGAUCGAAAAAACUAACCUGUAUUACGGAAAAUCGCCGUUUCAUGAUAAGUUUCAACAGCAUAGCAAUAACCAAAACCUGCACUUUGACAACAAAGAAGCAAAUAUUAAAGAAAAGCACUACCAUAGCAUAAUAUCCAAGAAAGUAUUCUGAAAGAUAUCCUUCGUGCUGGUAUAUAAUAGUGAAAUCGAAAAGCUCAUCAACUGAUAUGUAGAGUCUCAGGUAUUGAAAAGAAAUAAUCGCCUUUUUUUAUAAGGUAAAUUUCAUCAAUAAAAUAACAAGACGGUUCUAAAAGCAUGCAAACUACAAUGCAACUGCACCUGCUACAUUCGCAAAGCUUCUAUAAAAUUCAUGUACUGAUCUAAGUCUUCUGCCAUACUUACCUACACCACAAGUAAAGAUUAUGACGGCAACUAUUCUUAACACUAGCUAAAUGAUUCUUCCAAUUCUCAAAAUAUCUCUUUAUCUUUUCCAACCAAAUGGUCCAAAAGAUGCAAAGAGAUAUCGUUUUCCCGAUUUGCUUUUUAUUUUUCCCGACUUUCUGAUUCUGGCAACAAAUCAAUAGAUAUUUCACAUUCUUUGGCAUCACCCAUUGCACACAGCGAAUCCAUGAACAAUGAUUCAUACAAAACUCAAUCACAACCAAAUGUUAAUUUUGAAUUCAGAUGAGCUCUUGAUAUAGGAAAGAAGUAUCGUUGGAUCAGAUUUAAACUCAGCACCUCUUUUACAAGAUUGAACAUUGAUGAAUUUGGAUUAUAUCCACCCAAAAAAAUUAUCUGAUUAACAACAGUUUCAGGCUAAUAACUUUAGGGGUCAUUUGGUUCAUUGAAAAGUUACGCAGCAAUUAUUAUCAUACAAUGAUAUCAUUUUUAAUUGUUACUCUUUUGGUUUAUUGUAUCAAACUAUGGAGGUGAAACACAUCGUCUAUUGUCUAAAAUGUGUGUGUAGUUUAAGUUGGACAAAGAUUUGUUCGAGUACCCUUGGCCUAUAUUACAUCGCUUUGUUCAAUCUAAUAUUAAUUUGUCACAUUUGUAAUUAAUAUAAUUAGAUUAAUAUAAUUAAAAGACAGUUAUAAUUGUAACUGCUUUUAAAAGCUCAGCUAAAAGACAAUUCUAAGGUAAAAGUAACAGUGAGAUAUACACAAAUAUGAUACAAAUAAUUAAUCCUGCAUUUUUAUUUUUAUUUUUUGGAAAUUUACUUUAACCGCUUACUUAUAAUUUUAAACGAACAUCGUUGCGAACAAACAAAGAGUGUUAACAAAAAAAUAACACUCCCUCCAACCGAAUUUAUGUGCCAAUUUAUGAGGCACAUUUUCCUUCUCAGUGCAUCCCAAAAAAGGAACAUUACCUUUCUACGGUUAAGAACAACUUAACUUUAAAAUUCCUACCCUCUCAGAUCCCACUUUGUGAGACCGAGGGAAUAGUAAAACCGUGAAGGUGUGAGUCCAAUGGACGGACACUAGAAACUCAUGUUUGCCGACAUGAGAAUUGGUCAUGGCGACCAUUUAUGAUACUUACGGGGUACACGGGAAUCCCCUAAGUACACUUGUACAUAUGUAUCAUAGAGAACGAAGGGUAUUCGAGAAUCCCCUACUCCUAUGGUAUCUCCGAUUCGUACGGCUACACGCAUCGGGGCCCGUUCAGGGGGUUACACUACACUGGACCCAUAUAGCCCAUGUGAGUCUAUUUUUAUACAGUUCUCUGUACUCUUAACACAUGCAUUGCUAGUACACGUAUUGAUAUUCCAUACUAAGGUGGUGAAAUAGCACCGAAAUUUCCACAACUAAUGCUGAUAUUAUUAAUACAGAAAUAAAAAGAUGACAACGGAACACCUGUCAAUUGAUACUAGAAUUUACCUGAAUCAUUCUUGAACCGACUUACUAAUGUGGAAAAAACAAAAUGUAGCAGAUAAUGCAAAAGAAAGAAGAGGAACCAGAGUCAAUAAAACAAUUGAAGAAUUCGGCAGAAAAUCAGCAAAAACAAUCAGAUGAUAUAUUGUAGCAGUGGUCAAAUAUAGCAGUUACCUUCAGAUUGCUCAGCAUCUUCACUGUUGCUGGGUUGAAAUAUAACUGUACAAAAAUAUUUGAGGGAAAAUGUGAGAAAAAGGAGAAGCGGUAAAAGAGAACCAGAGUGUAUAGUCUGGUAGCUAGCAAGCUGUGACUUAAAGAUUAUAUUGGACAGUGAAAAGAUCUUAAUAGUAAUAGAACAUCCAAUAACAUAUGUAUACAUGACUCGGUAAAUUCAAAGCCAAACAUGACACAAAUUUGAUAGAGGUGUCUCACUAACUGUUACAGCGAAUGGAGACAUAAAGAAGAGACUCCAUAAACCAAUACAGCGUUAUGAAAGAUGAAUUUAGUUCUCCAUUUACAUCUUAGCCAUGAGAGGAAAGAGUCAAGCCAUCACUUGUUUCCUACAACACCAUGACAUGGCAUGUCUACACAUGCCAGACGUUCAUCCAGGGAUAUGUGGUAACAAGGUAAUUAGUUAUUCAGAAGCCCCCCUUCUUUAGAAUUUUUCGGCGUGCUAAGGACUAUGCGAUAGCCAGCAGGAAAUAUUGUGUCCACUGACGCCAGAGAUAGAAGUUUGUUAUUAGCUACAACAUACCCAGUAUAUUCCCACACAGUGGGGUAUAGGGAGGGUAGAAUGUACGCAGUCCAUGCCACUACCUCAGAAGUGAGGUAGAGAAGCUGUUUCCGAUAGACCCCCGGCUAAGUUCUGAAUGUUGCUUUAGUACAUAGAGUGGUGAUUCCUUAGAGAUUAGGAAUCAUCACUCUAUGUACUAAAGCAGCAUUCAGAUUUCUUAUUUUGAGGUAUAAAUCCAACUGCCUAGUUCAGAAGUCUAUAUGUAACCUUAGAAACUAGCACUGGCUAUAUCCCAACUUUUGACACAGACAGGUAAAGUUUGAGAGUAUCUUAUCUCAUGGAAGACCAGUAAUUCUCUAUUUAUACCAUGGAUGCAACUAGACAAUGUUCCAACUUUAUUUUAUGUACAGUACAAGUAAAAAUGCAGAGCCAAAAUGUACAAUGCUGGAUGAAAUAACAAAACUACCAAAAUUGUCGCUCAGAGAACUGAAAAGCACAGAAAAGCUCAACAAAUAGUACCUGCAUUAUGAACUUUAGGUAGUUAUUUAUGGCAUAGAGUAGUGCUGGUACAGCAAGAAGCACAUUGUUUCGUGCAGCCUGAAGAAAAAUAAAAGAUGGUCAGGUAAAAUUAUCAAGUACUAGCAAGCCUGUUAAAUGACUUGGCAGCAUGUUUGCACAACAAUACAAUGGAAACUAACUAAACAAUGCAUGUCGAGACUGUAAGAUCUCAGUCACACAGAACAGCUGUCAAUCAACACAGAAUCUGAAAUCUAUACAUGACGGACACAUCAAUUCUCUAAGAAGCCAAAAUAGAUUGGUGACGACAAAAAGUAAACCAGGAUGCAGAUAAGAAUUAGUCGAUUUUUAAAUGGAUCAAACAGCGCAAUAAAGAAAAGUGGAAGCUCUUGUGCAGUCAACAAUCCACUAGGUAUCAGAAGUCUUUUGAAUCUUUUUUGUAAGUCAAAUAUUCAUAACUAGAUACCAAGCAGGCGUCAAAAAUAUGUAUCAAUUGUUUCAUGACUCGGCCGGAGCUAUUUACUGGCAUUUAUCAGGUUGCCAACCACAUACACAACUGCGAACGGCAACAACUGGAGAUCCAUCUUUUUCAUUUGCUGAGUGACUACAACUGGAGCUCUUACAAUAAAUACGCUACACUUACCCUUUUUUUCCCUCCCCAACCCCCGCUGACUUAGUCUUGUUGUUUAUGGACCUUAGGUCACAUUAGAAGCUUCAGAAGAGGAAACCCAGUUAUUUGCAAGCAUCAAUUAGUCACUUAAAUGAUGUUCCCAUUUCACAUCAGACGAACUGACAAUUGAAAGAAAAGGAGCAAAGCUAGGUAAAAAGCGUGAAGUUUUCUUUUUCUGGCCAAGUGCAAACUUGAAUUGUCUAUAUGGAGAAGACAAAACUCAUCUGCAACAAAACUUGGCAGCUUAGCAUUACAUAUAUGUGAGAAAUAACAGUGGAAAUAUGAAGAGGGUCCGACUUCCAUGCUCGGUCCACGAAAUCUCAGGCAAGACAAAACUUGCAGUUCAACACUAUGUAGAAAUAUGAGAAGGUUCUAACUUCCAAGGUCGGUUCAAAAUAUAUCAAUGUUCAGCAUGUCUUUUGCAUUUUACCUGUACAAAUGUGGAUAUUGAAAGAAGUGGUUUUUCUCCAACCUUUUGAUGCCUGGCCUGCAGAAACAAUCCAAAAAGAAACAUGUUUGAGCUAUCGAAAAGAAAAUUGUAAGAGUAAAAUCAAAAACAUAAAAAUAGUGUACCUGGAUUAAAAGCAUUAUUAUUGCAAAGACAACUUUUGUCGCCUCCGUCAAGAAGUUGACACUUACAGGACUAAACUUGAAUUUUCCAUCCACUUUCGACAUAAAUACUAAAACAGGCUGAAACGGAAAAUAAAAUGCUUGGUCAAGCAUGUCUUUCUCAUUUUUAAGCAGCAAAUUUAAAUGCUUUGCUGAUAGAUGCAACUGGCAAAAGAUAUGUGGUGACAGCUAUAAUUAACAAUAUUCAAUAGAAAGCAGAAAAUUUUAACAAGAACCAAAACAAAUGGUGAUUGUUAGGGAAAGAGCACAAUCCACACGACAUCAAGAAGCUUCGUAAGUAUAUACACUUUACUGGUAGGAUAUUAUCAUUUCCAUGCAAAAAUAAAUAACUUCUCUUACGAGAACUGAGAAGAAGACAAGUAAACAGUUAGAACAUCUGAAAAAGACCGCUACCUGUAAGCCAACCAGCAUACAAUCUCCUACAACCAAUAGGACAUUAAGGGCACGUUGUUUUGAUGAAAUCUUGCUUCUGUGUCGAUCAUAUGCCCUUGAAAUAGUCUUUACAGUUGGAGAAACCAGCCUGGAAUGGCAGACAGCGCAUUCUGCCAUACCGUUCUUCAUCAGCGACAGCUUAGGAUUUCAGCUCUAGAGAAAAUUCAGCUAAAUGAAAGAAACAUGGUGAGUACAACCAUUUAUUAGAACAAAAAAAUGAAAGAGAAAACAAGUAAACAAACAAAGUUUUCUUCUUCUUCUUUUUUUUCCUUUUGAUGAAGAGGAAUAAAUAAACAAACAAAGUAAGGUGACAGAGUAAGAGAAAGUUCUGGUAGUGUACUUGUCAAAUACUAUAAUUUAACAGAAUUAUAUAGCUCAUUCGCAUCAUUUCAAGACUAUUCCAUAUACCAUUUAAUGGCACAUUAUAAUAGUCAGUUCAAACAGCUUAAACAAAUCAAGUGAGAUACAUGCACAGGUCACCCAAAUCCUACAUUUUCUCCACCCUGUUAUGUAACUACCAUCAACCCAAACCACAUCUGCAGCAUAACGAUCUAUAUUGCAUAUCUCAUUCAUUCAUUCAUUCCCUAGACACACCCAUGUCAAAUGGGUGUAACGUGAGUAUGGCACUUAAUGCCUAUGUUGCGUGGACUCUCCGAUUUUGUGCCCGAACCCGUCUCGACGCGACGCUGACGCGGGUGUGGGUGCUUCUUGUGUCUCAGAUUCAGUCAAAUGAAUCCGGAUACCUUGACCAAAUAGAGCACAUUUGAGGGGGAAAAUUGAGAUUCAAAUUCUUACGCCGUACUUUUUCCAAAACAACGUAACUCCUAAUAGUACUCCUGGUUGAAAAAGUAAAACUAAUUGCAAAAGUAGCUAAAAAGAGUAAAGUAACAUAAGAGCUUAACCUAGAAUAUCUUUAGAACUCUAUUUUUAUAUUAUUUUAAUUUUUUUAGCCGAAUCCCUGCACCUGUAUCCAUACUCGAAUUCGCACCCCUGAAUUUAAAAUUUAAAUUUUGCCGAAUCCGACUCUCGGAUCCGCACCCGUCUCAAAUACCCGCACCCGAGUCCGAGCAACUUAGCUUAAUGCACUGCCAACAUGACAUAUCAGUAAUAGUAUGCACACACCUAUUGUGUAUAGUUGCUCAAAAAUGAAACAUCACUAUUACAAAUGCACAACACCAUCUGCAUACACGUAGUACUAUAUAUAAAAGACAUUGCUGAAUAAGUAACUUACUGAACAAAUGCACUUAUUCUUUUUUCAAUUGUUACAGCAGCUGCAGUUAUUGAGCAGUAUAAAAAGGUCACUUCACCUCUCUCCCUAACAUGAACAAAAGCAGAGAUCAUCCAAAUGCAAAAUUCAUAAAGCAUAGAUCUCAGUAUAAAUAAAACCAACAAAAAUCAAAUCUUUUUGGGAUGACAACAACUAAUUCACAUCCAGAAAAUAUUGAAUUGAACACAGAUCAAUCAUUUUGAUUAACAAAAAUGUAACAUCAAAUAGAUCUACAUGUCAAUCUUACAUUUAACAGAAAGAAUUCCCAUAAUUAAAAAAAAACUAACCUGUGAAUUAAUUACUUAACGAAUAAAUAUAUGUUGGCGGGAAAUGGACAGAAUAUUCCGGCCAGAUCCAGAUAACUCCGACCGACGGAAUUAAGUUGAGCUGAGACAAGUAACAACAAUUGUAGUAGAUUUAGUAAUAAUUGGAGAUUUAGGGCAAAUCCAAUAUGAAGGAAUUGAACUCUCCUUUUUUCUUUGAUGCAGAAGGGGGCUGGGGAUAUGAGUGAGUUGGGAAAGAGCUAAUUUUAUUUACUUUAUUUAUAUUUAAUUGCUUACUAUAUUAUAAUAAUAUUUUUAUAAUACUAAAGGGAGUUGCAAUUUAUUUGGUGUUAAGUUUGUGUGUCACUUUGCUUCCAUGGUAAAACAUAACAGGUGUGAAGUUCUUGUCACGUAAAGAGUAGUUAGUAGUAGCAGGGCAAUUCAGUUUUCUUUCACAAAACUAAAACUAUGAAAUGUAUAUGAUGACGAAAUAAAAUAUGGGAAAUUCAUCAAUCAAAAUUUCAUAAAGAAGAUAUAAUAUAAAGCGGCAAAUAAAUCAGUCCUUAGAUAUGUGAAUUGCAAGUUGCAUAGAAAGUCACUCUCAAAUAAUCAACUCUUGUAGCAAAAACGCAAAGCAGGAUGUUCAAAUAAAUAUAAAUACGUUUAUCUUCUAAAUUUUGUAGUUUGGUAAACUCAAUAAUUCGAAGUAUCUCGUACAAUAACAAUGUGAUUAUUUAACUUAUAAAAUCAUGCUUAGAGGAAAAAGAUGAUCAUGUAAUAAUAUUUUGGCAUAAUUUUAAAUACUAUCAAAUUAAUCUUGUACCAUACAAUAUGGAGAUAAUUAAGUAUGUCCAUGUAGCAAUCUGCUAUGGAUCUUGAUUAAAAUGAGUUGGGCCAAAAUAAGAAAGUAGCUCUAUUGGGAGAAGUUCAUAAGGCCCAUUGUGGUUGGACUAGCCCCUUUCUGUAUUAAAUUUCUUUCUUGGGCCCUUUGUGGACUAGCCCAUUUCUGUCUUAAGUUUCUUUAUUGGGCUUUUCCUUCUUUCAUAGUUUGGGUAAAAGGAAGGAAAGAACAGAACUUGGAUCCACAAUCUGUGCAUGUGCAGAAUCCAAAGGCCCUCCCACUUUUAUUUUGGGACUGUCGAAAUACAUAAUUAGCUUUUGAUACAUUUUUUUCGUUUUAGGUCUAUCGAGAUACAUAAUAUAUCCAACAAAUAUAUAUUUUAUUUCGAUUUUGAGUAUGUUGAGAUACAUAAUUAACUCCUAAUACAUCCAAUGAAGAUACAUAAUUAGUUGAGAUUUUUUUAAUUACUUUGUAAGGAUGCAGAUUUGUAUAAAUAUGAUAAGUUAAGAUGUAUGUUUAUCUUAUUUUUUCUUUUUUCCUACACUAUUAACAUGUAAAACAAUUGGUGAAGUUGAAAAGAGAAAAAAAAAAAAAAAACUAAAUAGAUUCUAGUAUUUUAAAUAAACUUAUCAAAUGGCAAAUAAAUUCACUCAUUCAUGUUGAACAAGUCAGGGGGUCGGGUGAAUUCAAUAAUAGACGCCUGUUGGCAUUCCAGGCUUCCUAUUCGAAAGAGAAUUCAUUAUUUCUUGAUCGUGAAUAUCUGAACUGGUUGUUCCUGGUUGUGCACCAUUCAAGAAUUCUUGUUUAGACAGUUUAGACGCCAAAAGAAAUAAGGUUGUCACGCUUCUCCACAUGGAUGAUACAUAGUAUAGUAUAAUGUGCCUUUUGAUAUUGUUGGCUUUGAUUUUCCAUGAUUUAAAUAAUUUAAAGUAUAAAUUAUUUCCAAAAAGAAAACGGUUGAUUAGAAGGAUCAACAAGAUAUUACUUAGCUUAAGAUAUAUACUAAUAAUUCAUUCGAAUAUGCAUGUAAAUAGUUUUGAUGAGAUAGGUUUUGGAUUUUGUAUUAUUUUGUAGACCAUACAGGGAUGGAGAUUGAUGAGGAAAAUAUAUUUUCAUAAUCAUAUCUAUCUUAAAAAUAAACAAACAACUUUUCGAUUGUGAAACCAUUUUACUUAGAAAAAUAAAUUAUUUAAGUUCCAUGCACUGAUAUAUUUUAUAUCUAUUGAUUUAUUUAAUUUCGUCAGUAAUUAUGAUAAUUACGUCAUGAACUAACUAUGUAUAAUCUUAAGUGCGGGUUAUGUAAUGAGCUUUCAAUUUAACUUAAUAGUGUAUACGUUGAAUUUAUCUACAUUGUAUCUAUAUUUAAUUCGUUAUACUUUUAAAACAGAAGUCCAAUGUGUUUGUUUUAACUGCUUUUCAAAAUUAAACCAAAGGUUGAUUUUGAAAAGGGAAAAAAAAUACUCCUAUUUAUAACAAAUUGUUCUUCGAAGUCUUAAUUUUAAAGAUUAAUACAUGACUUUCUUGCAACAAAAUUAAAUCAAAUGACAUUGACUGUUUUGUUAAGAAAAAGAAAUAUAAUUAAUAUAAUAAGUCUGAUCUCUUGUUCUAGAAGCUAAAUAUGUAGUAUUAGUUGGGAGGUCCUUGUCACUUUUAUGCUAAAAAUAAGAGGAUAAUUUAUCAAAUUAGAGGGUGCUUAAUGGUAAAAACCUUACACGCAUCCAGUAUAUGCAUCAAAUCAAAUUAAUGUUUUUUACCAUAAUUAAGCAAUUAAAUCAAGUAAAAUAUAUAUUAAUUAAUCAUGAUUAAGUAAUAAAAACUCUAAAUUUAACCAUGCUUAAUUCAGGUCGUUUCUUAUUACUAACCAAUAAUUUCAUGCCAAUAUAUACAAGUAGUACUUAGAUCCACUUUCUUUUUUCUUUCUAAAUUGGUUAAGUUUACUACUCCCUCCAUCUAUUAUUAUUAUUAUAUGGUGAUAUAGUGAAAUUGUCAGUAUAUUUAUUGGUUUUUACGAGGUGAGUCAAGUCAAUAAUAGUCGAGUAGAAAUGGACCGAAAGAAUACUAUCUAAUCAAUAAGUUCAUUAAUUUUACGGCUCCUAAAAGUUAUCAACCAAUCAAUAAUAAUUUAUUUUCUUUCAGUACGUAACUUUUACUUGACAGUAUAUGUUUAACGAAGAAAAAUAAAUAGUAGUAUAUCAUAUCAUGAAAACGUCUUUCCCUUUUUCGGUGUUCUUUUAGAUUGAAAAUGAAGUUAGUGAUUUGAUUUUUAAUUAGUUAAUCAAUUCACUGCACAUCUUUUAAUUGUGAAAUUUUAAUUUUAAGAACAAAAAGGGAAAAGCCAAAUCUCGAGUCCAAAUUUUAUGGUACCCAGCUAAUUGAUAAUCUUUUAAGAACUUCACAUUGUAAUUAAUUAAUUCCAACUUUUUUUUGUUUUUUCUCGAGUAGUAUAGUAUAAAAAGAAAAAGAAAACACGUACACGAGAUAAGUAAUAUAUAUUUUCUUAGUAGAUUGGAGAAAGAAAAUAUAAGUAGUAAUUAAUUGUCUGUAAAAGUAAGUCAGCUUGCAUCACAGUUAGUUAAUAAUUACACGUUAAGUAUUACGUUUUAACUACCGAUUUGAUCGAGUAAAAAGGAGGAGAAAAAUUCAAAACUUAACUGCUUUAAAAUCAAUUGGCAAUAAACAAUAUUGAUGACAAGGACAAGAAGAAUAGUAAGAUAUAAUUCAGAGUUUUCUUUUAAAAAUAUAUAUGCAAACAUGCAUAUCAACAUAAAAAAACAACGUUACAUGAAUUAAAAGAAUUUAGAAAUAACAAUUGUGAUUAGUGAUUGAGAUGGAUUGGUAGCAUAUAUAUUUGAGAUGAACACUGAUAUAUAUAGGGCUGAGUAUAAAAUAUUGAAAAUCAAAUUACCGAAUUGAAUCGAAAAAUUUGGUAAUUGGUAUUCGGUAAUUUGGUAUUUGGUAUGAUAUUCGAGAGUUAAAUUUCAAUAUUUUGGUAUUCGAGAUCAGAAUUUGAUCCAUGAUAUUAAUAUCGUUUUGGUAUUCGGUAUUUAUCGAAUAUCGAAUAUAUAUAUAUAUAUAUGUGUGUGUGUGUGUCUAACCCAAUCCAAUAGUAUUAGUUAUCCUAAAGAAUUUCUUGAACCUUGGUAAUAUAUUCGUAAAAAGCAACAAAAGAAUACUAAAUAGGGUUUCUAUUAAAUGUACUCUUUGAAGUUUAAAUGUACAUUUGCACAUCUCCAACUAUAAUAUGGUAUUACCAAAUACCGUACUGAACCGAAGUUUAAUUUACCGAUUAUCGAACCGAUGUUUAUAAGUAUGGUAUGCGGUAUCUAUGUUCAAAUACCAAUUACCUAAUUAUCAAAUUCCAACUUUUAAAAUAUCGAACCGAAUACCAAACUUCCAUCCCUAAAUAUAUAGUAGUAGUACAUUAUAAGCUUAAUUUCCCCCCUUGGUAGUCCCACCUUUAGGAUACAUUCAUUCAUGAGCUUAAUAAAUUAGAAAACUAUAUACUCCUAUAACAUUAUUCAUGAUUGUAGGAUGCAGUUUAAUCUCUAGGGUCAUUUCAUAAUUAUAAUAAUUAAUCCUAGCUACAUACAGAAUUAUUCUCUUUUAGGUUGGUGAAACAGAAGCAUACAUAUAUGCAUGCCAAUUUUCAACAAAAACGUUUUUUUGUGGGAGAUCAAUUAGCUAGCUAGGUUCCAGUCAAGUCAUAUAAUAUAAUAAUAAUGCUUAAUGAUCCAAUCAAAAGGCAAAACUUAAAGGGUUAAAACAAGAAGAAAAAGGACUACCUGAUUAAUUUUAGGGAAAAAUAUAUUGCAUGGUCAUUUUUAAAACAAAUUGUUCAAGUUUGAUAUUUUGUCAAAAAAUAGUCAGUCGACUAUUUUAUUUUCACAUUAUAAUUGUUUCCUAAUUUGGGUCAUGUUGGUCCAUGUAGUUCAGAUACAAUCGAUAUAUCAUAUUGAUACAGUUCAUAUACAAUACUGAUAUAGUUUCCAACUUGAAUCAUUCGGUCCUUUUCUAAAAAUAUUAUUUUUUUUCUUAUAAAUUUUUUAACUGAAAAAUAUUCUAUUUUUUAUUAUUAUUUCAAAAUAUUAAUUAAUUUUAUAUGACUAAUAUAAUUAAUUAAGGCCACUUGGAAACAAAGGCAAUAGGAAGAGUGUUAGGUGAUAACUGAAAGCUGAUGGCUUCCAUCCAUUCAUAUGUAUCUCGCCUCCCCCCCCCCUCCCCCACCCCUUGGUUUGGGGAGUGGAUUUAAUCAUCUUAUCAUGUUAGAUAUUAUAUUCAUAGAGGUUAAUGAUAUAUAGUUUGAUCAUCUAAUUAAUUUUUACAUAGAAAAAAUUGGAAAGCUUUUUAUAUUUCGAUGAGAAUCUAUUUCCAUCAUGUAUUUUUCCAGUGAGCCGGUUAGGUAAAAAUAGGGUGGAAAAACUAUAUUUUAUAACAUAAAUUUUUCAUUUAUUCGCGACGGAAAAAAAUUUAUAUUUAUAGUAGUGACAAAAAGUAAAUGUUCAAUGCAUACAAAAUAUAGUUGUUACAGUAUCAUAUGUACAUACACACAUAUAUACAUAUACAUAUACACAUAUAAAAAAAAUGUAUCCGUCUAACUCGUCUAAUUAAAAAGAUUGAGUUUCUUUUAAAAAAUAAAAACAAAUUAGGGGUCGGGAAUGGGGAAAUGAGAGAGGGAAUUACAAGGUGAAAAAUCGAACUCUCACCAAUAAAGUAAUAAUUCGAAUAUAUAUAGUCAACUGAUUGAGCUAUUAAAAUUUCCCACACCAAUACAUUCUUUAGGUUUUAUACUGUUCAGCUAGCAUUGGAUGCUAGUUACAUUACAUGACAAUUUAUCUUGAAAUCAGAAAGUAACACAUAAAUUGGGAUGGAUGGAGUAUACUAUAACUUUUACGGGUUGUUCUGGGAAACAAGUUAUCUCACCCUCAAGAUGGGACAAAAAUAAUAAUUAUAAUUUUGAGAUAAGUUAUAUCAUUUAUUUUAUUUCAAAUAAACAUGGAAUAAGCUUAUUCUAAAACUAAUUUGAUCGCAAAUUACUACUAUUAUUCUUUCUUUCUGUCAUUUAUUGACCUUGAAAAAGAAUCCACCCACCCCAACAAAAUUUAGUCAAUGUCGUGUUAAGGGACACCUCUACAUAUUAUUAAGAUUCUUAAAUACUUUUUAAACAAGACUAUUAGCUUUACAAGUCCUUUUUCAAGCCUAUUAUGAGUUGUUAUAAUUAAGAGAAGAAAAAAAAUUACAAUACCAUGUGAUUUUGUACUAACUACUAUCAUUGUCAAAUCCAUAAUAUACUACACAAAUAUUUUCCACAUGAAUUAGGUCCACUCAAUUUUCAGCAAAAAAUGUUCUUUCUUUUCUUUCUCUUUUUAAAUGUUUUUUUUUUUUUGUUAAUUUGAAGCAUUGCACUAUGUGACAAAAGAAUUGGACCAUGAUGGAAGGAGAAAAAUAAAAUGAACAUUACCGAUUAUUCUAGAUCAAUUUUUCUUUAAUUGAGAUAUCAAUUUGUAGGUUAAUGUUAGUUGUAUGAAUAAUAGGUUGUUUUAAAAAUAUUACCUUCAUUAUCCCUUCAAAACCAGAUGGGAUAUAAUAAUGUAUAAUUCCUUUUCAAUAAUUGGACAAUUUACGUUGACCAAAAAUUUUACAUAAAAUUUUUUUGAAGAUGCAAAUUUUGGAUGUCGAUGUACAAUUCUUUUUACUUUUUAUUUUUUGAACAUCCAAAUUGAAAGAGAAAGAGUAUUUUAUUUCGUAAAUUAAGAUAAUUAUCCUCUCAUAUGUUUAGGAACUUGUUGAAAUAUUUGUUUUCUUGCUCUCUCACUCGGUGUCUAAUACUUAUAUUCUGUAAUACUUAUAUUCUGGAUCGACUAAAUUCAACCUUGCACCGGAAUGAGAGAUAAACGGCAUUUCCUAAAAAAUACAACUUUAUGUCCAGGGCUUCAGCACGAAACUUCUAAUUAAGAAUGCAUACCACUCCAUCACAAACCUGGUGACACUACGAUAUUAUUUACAUGAUUGAAAUAGAGAAAAGUUUCAAAAUGUUUAGCAAAAGCUCAUACACAUUAUAGUACUCCAAAAUGUUUCUUUUUAUUUUGAUUGUAAGAUGCAGAUUUAUUGAUUGUCUGUAUUUAAUUUUUAUUUCCCUCUUAUUUUAAAAAAAUUAUUGAAGAAGUCUAGACGACAAGCUAAAACAGAUUACAAAUUUGACCAAAAAAAAAAAAAAAAAUUACAAACGAAACAAGUAGAUCAUGUUUAUUUAUUUGUAACCAUAUAAGAUACGUUGACGAACAAUACAUAUAAUAUAAUGAGACAUACCUUCUACGAAGAUGAUAAUAUAAUAAUUGGUAAACCAUGAUCCUCCAUGUGAUUAUAUUGUCAAUUAUACUUGAAAUAAACUUUAUAUAUUUAUGCAAAUUUCUCUUGAAAAUCAUAGAGGUGGGCAAUGUGUGUUGAGGCAUUAUUCUAGCACACCCUGAUCUCCAUAUUAAAAUUAAAUCAAUAUAUUGAAGGGAGUCAAUAUCAAAAUAUCGUAUAUGCUUUAAAUUUGAACAUUUUAUUUGGAUACAAAUGUUAAUGAAAUGUUAUCAUUUUCUUACCUUUUGGCUUUUUUUUUUUUAAUGGAAAAAAAAAUGAUAUGUAGUUCUUUUAGCGUUGGAAAAAUUUUUUUAGGAGGAGAAUUUUCUCUAAAUAUUUUUUACACUUUUUUUUAUCAUGAAAUUGCUAAUAUGAAUGUCAAUUGAUCAAUCCACAUUAUUUUAUUAUGUCAUCACUUUGAUAUAUUUCUCUUUGUUACGUUAUCUGAUUUACUAUCAUCCAAAAAUUUGCUUUAUCAAUUUUCACAUGUCACCAAAUUAUUUCAAUUGGAUCGUAUAGAUUGCUGCUCUCUAGUAAAUAUGGGAACAUAAAGAGAAGUGCUAAUAUAAUUAUCUCUGGUUAAGGAUUUAAAAAUGAAAAGCAUUUUGAUUUACAUUAUGAAUAAAGUACUGUAUCGUAUUCUGUUUUAUCGAAAGAAGUUACACAUUAAAGAAAUAGUAUGUAAUUUGCUUGGGGAACGUGAAAACCAGUAACCGUUACCUCAAACAAUAUAGUUUAUUAUGAUCAAGUAAAAAAUACUAUUAUAUAUGUGUGUAUUAAAUUUUACAAAAUUUCAAUUUAAUUUCUUUAGAACAAAAUUAUUGUGUAAAUAUAAUUUCAAGAUUCAAAUAUUCUUUUUCAAAUUCAAACUCAUUUCUUAUUAGGAUUCAUUAGAUCCAACCUUAUCUCUCCCUCACGGAUAUACUUUCUACUCUUCUUCUCCUUAGACGUAGAAAUAUUUUUUUUGAUUUUUCAUUUGGUGUUCGAUAUCCGUAUUGGAGCCCGACUAAUUCAGAUUCGUACCGCGUAGGGCCUAUUCGGAGGAAGCAUUCUCUACCAAAGAUUUUUCCAUACCCAGGGCUCGAACCCGAAACCUCCGGUUAAGGGAGGAGCAGUUUCAUUCACUGCACCACAUCCUUUGAUGGUGACGUAGAAAUAUUGUUUAUUAGUUCAUUAUAAUUUUGAAAUCAUACCAGCAACGCGAGAGAAUUGAGUGUACGCAGUUCAUAUUACUACGCUUAAAUUUUUAGUAUUGAGGGAUUGCUUGCAAGCAUUAUACGAAUAAUUCUCACAAUGAUGAGUGGGGGACUUAAGAAACUAGGCAGGAUUUUUUUUAUUUGAAAACGAUCGAACAACAAAAAAGCUACGUAUAAAAUGCCCUUUUUGUUACCUCUUUCUAUCAUGUUAUUAAUUGUUGAGUGUGUGUUUACAUAUUUCUUUGCUGUUCGACACUUAGAUCGAUCACCAUUGAACAUAAUUUAAAAAAUAAUGAAUUGCCUUCACAUGCAGGACCAAAAAAUUGCAUAUCACUAUAUUGUUUGAAAUAUACAUUAUACAUAUAUGGAAAAGAAAACUAUGUAUCCUAAUUAACAAGUCUUUCACAGUGGAGUAGUAGUGGAUCACAAAGGCUUGUAUGAUUCUUGAUUUAUUAAUUAAAUAUCUAUAUACGAAUCGGAUUCUUGGUAAAUAUAUUUUAAAGUAUGUAUAGGUACUAAUGAGGCGAUUUUAGAAUUUCUAAAUUAUAAGUGUACUACUAAAAAACGAAGAAGGGGGGAUUGAUCUUUAGUCCUCUUGGUAAAUGAUUAUACUAAGCUUUAACUUAAUGCACCGUCAAGUCUUUUAGUAGCUUGGGUGCGUGCCAACAGGUGAUAUUAGAUUAAUUCUAGAAAAUAUAUACAUAUAAUAUUUAGUUUUACGGAAAAAGCAUGAGUUCACAUGCCCUAUAAAUUACACCUAAGAUCCCUUUUGAAUGAAUCCUAUAAGUUAGUAACCAUGUAAAAAUUUCUUAAAAAGUGAUCGAAUCGGUUCAAAAUAAUAGAUGUGGAUCUAGAACAAGUUUGGUAAGUUAAUUCAACCAUAUCCAUUAUUGCUUUUGAGUCAAUACAAGAAAAUAAACUAAACUAACAAUUUGUUUUUAGAUAAUUCACUUUAAUUUCUUAAAUUUCAAGUGACAUGAUUCAUCUUUUGGAAGCAGUAAAAUUGAAUGAUCAAAGUUUUGAUUCAAUAGAAGAAAUCAUGUACACAUAGAAUUAGAUCACACUAAUUAACUAAUUAUUUUAAAUUAUGGGUGAAGAUUUAAAAUAUUGAAUUUAUCUCUGGGUGAAAAUUUGAAUUAAACGGUUGGAAAGAGAACGUUAUCAACUGAGUCAACUUCUCCCAAAUUCCAACUCGAAUCUGUCUACUUUGAGGGCUUACAAAAGGCAUCAUAUUAAUUAAUUAUUUAAAGGUUUUCUAUUGUUUUAGUUUUACAAGGACUUACACCAAGAAAUAAUUAAAUGUACUAUAUCUGUUUUGCUCAGACUGUGUUAACAGUUAACACUACUGCAAACAUCAAAUAAAUGGUAUAUUUGGAUUAAACUUUUAACUAAAGGAAGAUUUCUAGUAAUUUGUAUUAUUAGAAAAUGGAGGGAUAGAAAAUGAAAUUUUCUGAAAGGAAAGUAUCAUUGGUUUAUAGAUCUUUUAAAAUAUUUGUAAAAAAGGUGGCGUAACGGAAUAUAGAAGCAAAAUAAAGUCAACUAAUUAGUAAUUAAUUAAGUAUUAACAUUGUGUCGGCUUGUAUAUUUGGAAUUAGUAAUAGUAGUUGGUUAUACCCAGUCAUUCUCUUUCUGAUACUAUACAAAAAUGAAGAGAAAAACCAAAAAAAAAUAAAAAAAUACAUUUUCAGCAUAAUUUCUUUAUGUAUAUAUACACCACCAUUCACCAAUGAUAUAUACUAUACCAUGAAAAAGGAACUUUCACAUUACAUAAUAAACGUGGUAUUAUAAAUUUUGAAUUAGUAGUAUUAGUGCAUACCAAGUCUCCAUAAACAAGUUAUUAUAAUAUUUUAAUUUCAUGUAUAUUAAAUUUUCAGUAAUGUCUCAAGUAGACAAAAUGCUAAUUCUUUAGUUAAUUGAUAAUGAAGAAACAACAAUAAAAAUAAUAUUUCUAACUUCUAUUUACUAUUAUUUAUUCAUCAUGUAUGUACGAAAACAAUAAGAGAGUUCCAUUUGGAAUUGUUGAGGUUUUAAUGUCAAACAAAAUGUCCCCUUCAAAGGUUUCUUGUGGACUAUUUCCAUAUUUCCAGUUGGCAAAGAAAUAAUUUUCAAUAGCAUGCAUCGAUAUUAAUUCAACAAAUUAAACAUAACUUUCGAACUAUAUAUGCAUUUUCCAUAGUUAAGGGUUACUUUUUAUUGAAGCUAUGAUCAAGAAAAUACACACCGGCCCCAGCUUGGUGCUCUUUUUCAAGAAAAUAUCUAUUCGAUCUUAAUUAGUGUAUACAUCAAGUUAAUAAAUAAUUUAAUCGUUAAGUUACAAAUCGAUCAAUAUAGUGAAACGUAUGUACGUAUAUCACAUGAACGAAGCAUGCAUAUUUAUUGUUUUGUCGUGAAGAUGGAGUAAAUAUUUUUCUCUAAUUCACCGAGUUAAAUGUGAUACUGUAGAGUCCCUCAACUUCAAUGAUUUGAGUUUUAAAAUGUUACUGCCUAAAAAUCUGAAAUAAUCUCUUGUUCAAUAUUCUUAAAGUUAAAGAAAGGGUAAAUUUGAUGUAUUUUAACUUUAAUGAGUUAAUCUAUGUAACCAUAUUUGAGGUACCACGUGCAAAUAUAGAAGGAGAAGAUAACUAAUAUGAGUUGUGGUGUAGUGGUAGGAUUAUUCCAUCUUUAAUCAGAGGUUUCGACUUCGAGUCCUUGGUAUGGAGAAAAUUAUGUUGGGAGCAUCAAUCCUAGAAUGGGCCUGCAGUCCGCGAUCCGGAUUAGUGGAGGCUCUAAUGUGGGUACCGGACAUCGGGUAAGAAACCAAAAAAAGAAAGAAGAUAAGAUUUUUGUUCAUUGGCUUUUUUAAGUGAGAAUUUGACUUUAAUUUAGGGAGAAUUAGUAGUGUUUUCACUUAAUUACUUUUUGAGAUGACUCGAAUUCUCAAUCUAUCAACUGCUGGCGAUGAUACUCAACUGUUUGAGAGAAUUGAACUUUUUUAAUGUCUCUUUGAAGAUAAAAUGAUUACAUGAAUAAGUAAGGUUUGAUUAUUGAACCCUUUGAACAAGAAAUGGGAAAAUAUAUCCAAAUUAAAGGCAACUCCACCAACCCUUAUUCCAUAGGACCCCCACCUCCAACUCCAACCCCACCAUGGCUGCUAGGAAAUUGAAGACAACAAUUAAUAAAGACCAAAUUCUAUGAUCUCAGUAUGUUCAUUAUUAGACUUUAAUAUAGAGACAACACAAAUUAUUGAGUAAUAGCAUGUAUAUUGAAGAGUGAAAAUGUUAGUUAAAAUUAAAGACGCUCCGUUUCCCUUUCACAAUUAUAGCAUGCGUCUCUGUACAUAUUGUUAUGUUCUUUUUGUAAAUCUAAUAGUAUAUACAUAUAUGUAGCAGGUAACCACUUGUAAGACAAUGGAAAUUGCAGAAUGAUUAAGUAAUGGAAAUGUUUUUUUUAAAAAGUUUUUGAUUAAGUCCAGCUGUAUAGAGUUCAUUUUUUGAAAAGUCUUUAUUCACAAUCAGACAAACUGAAUUGGUGGCAAUUGACAGCUCCACACCAACGACUGCUUUAUACUAAGAGUGUUACUAUAAAUACUUUGCUCAUUGCUGCGAAUUAAGUCAUCACCUCUCUAACUAAACCACUAAUUUCUCUUCCUCUUUACUUUCUGACUAACUACUAGUCGAAAGAGUCUGAUCUAUAGCCAUCUUUGAGGAGCUGGUGGUGCAAUUUUCCAGCUAGCAAUGAGGCUUCUUGGUGGCGGCCCCGGUAGGGGUCGUCAUUUGCCACAUAUCUUAGUGGCAUUGGCGGCCAUUUUGGCUGUUGCUAAUGUUGUUUCUGCUGAUCCUUAUGUAUAUGCUUCUCCACCUCCACCACCUUACGAGUACAAGUCGCCACCCCCUCCUUCUCCCUCUCCACCACCGCCUUAUGAGUACAAGUCGCCACCACCUCCUUCUCCAUCUCCUCCACCGCCAUAUGAAUACAAGUCGCCACCACCUCCUUCACCAUCACCUCCACCACCAUACUACUACUCUUCCCCACCACCUCCGAAGAAGUCACCUCCACCACCAUACUACUACUCCUCUCCACCACCACCCGAGAAGUCACCUCCUCCACCAUACUACUACUCCUCUCCUCCACCCCCGGAGAAGUCACCUCCACCACCUUACUACUACUCUUCUCCACCACCCCCCAAGAAGUCACCUCCACCUCCAUACUACUAUAGUUCUCCACCACCACCCGAGAAGUCACCUCCACCACCUUACUACUAUUCUUCUCCUCCACCACCCGAGAAGUCACCUCCACCACCAUACUACUACUACUCUCCUCCACCACCCAAGAAGUCACCUCCACCUCCAUACUACUACAGUUCUCCACCACCACCAGUUAAGUAUCCUCCUCCACCAUACUACUACCCUUCUCCACCACCACCCAAGGAAUCACCUCCUCCACCAUACUACUACUCCUCACCACCACCACCCAAGAAGUCACCCCCACCCCCAUACUACUACUCCUCUCCUCCACCACCAGUUAAAUAUCCUCCUCCACCAUACUACUACUCUUCCCCACCACCACCAGUUAAGUACCCUCCUCCACCAUAUUACUACACUUCUCCUCCACCACCUACUCCUUACUAUCCUCCUCAUCACCCCUUGAUUGUUAAGGUUGUAGGAAAAGUCUACUGCUACAGAUGUUAUGACUGGAAAUACCCAAAGAAAUCCCAUGACAAGAAGCACCUCAAAGGUAUACCACUCUUCUACACUUCAUUCCUCUCUUACAUUAUUUUUUUUUCCUUGUUUAGUACAUUUCUUCAUAACUAUAUUCUGUUAGAUAUUUGUUUGUGAAUCUUUUACUCUCUUUAUUCUUAAAAUUAUAUAUAACAUGAGACAUGCGUGAAUUUGAAGGCACCACCCUAUUCAUUUAAAUGACUUUAGGGACUUAAAUCCAACCAACAUUCUUUCUAUAUUUAUGAAGUAUAGAAAAUGAAAGUGAUAUUUCAUUUCUGUGAAAGCAAAAUCUUGUAUACAGAGUUAAUUAUAAUGGCGAGUUCUCAAAAAUAUUACUUACUAAAUAGUUUAUUAUCUUCAAGUAUGUAGUUCUACUUGCUUUAAAGAAAUAGUUCAAAAUUUGGUAACUCUUUGCUAUAUUACCCUACAAAAAGAUGAGAUAUAUUUGUCAAAAAAAGGGUUUUAAAACCAUUGAAGAAGUUUUUUACAACGAAAUCAUGAAAACGCAUCAGAAGUAAAAGUAAGAAAACAUCAUCACUUAAUUAUGCUUGCCAUACAAAAGGUAUAUUCAUUGAUUAUGCAAUUAUUUGUGGUAUUAUAUAUAUAUAUAUGAUUUUCUUUUUCAUGAUUAAACAAUUAUUAACUUGAUCUAUUAAAAAUAUAUUAUAACAAUAAUAAAAAAGUUUCAUUGAAUAUCACCAAAAUGUUGAAAAAAACAAAGAGGUAAUUGGAGACAGAUGGAUAGAUUCUUGACUUUGAAUUGCUUAUUAGCUAAUAAAGAGGAAAAGCAACAUGAAUAAGUGGAUAAUGAGCUUUUGAUCAUGUGAUGGAAUACUUAAUUUUAUAGUAAGGAAAGGACAACGUUGGUUAUUGUAGCUAGUGGGCAAAAUAAGCUAAAAAAUAUGUCUAUAUGAUCUAGUUAAUGACUCAAUUAUUAAGUACUAAUUGCAUUAUUAUCAAUUUUCACACUUGGUAUAUACUAUAUAUAUAGGUGCUGUUGUUGAGGUGACAUGCAAGGCUGGUUACAAAGAAAUCAAGAGCUAUGGUACCACUAAGAUUAAUGGCAAGUUUAGUAUUACUGUUGAAGGAUUUGAUUAUGCGAAAUAUGGAGCAGAUGCAUGCAUAGCUAAGCUUCACAAAGCACCAAAGGAUUCAAAAUGUAACAUCCCAACAAAUCUUCAUUGGGGUAUGAAGGGUGCUAGCCUCAGGGUGAAAUCAAAGGAUCAUUAUGAAGUUGUGCUCUAUGCAAAACCAUUUGCUUAUGCUCCAAAAACUCCAUAUGAAGAAUGCAUGAAGCCUAAGCCAACUCCAGCUCCUUACUACUACCAUUCUCCUCCACCACCAUCGCCGACAUACGUAUACAAGUCACCACCUCCUCCAUCACCCAAAUACGUGUACAAAUCACCACCUCCUCCAUCACCUAAAUACGUGUACAAGUCGCCACCCCCUCCAUCACCUGAAUAUGUGUACAAGUCCCCACCCCCUCCAACCCCAACUUACGUGUACAAGUCACCACCACCUCCAUCACCUGAAUACGUAUACAAGUCCCCACCACCUCCAUCACCGAAGUACGUGUAUAAAUCCCCCCCACCGCCACCAUACUACUACAAGUCCCCCCCACCUCCAUCACCUGAGUACGUAUACAAGUCUCCCCCACCUCCAUCCCCAAAGUACGUGUACAAGUCCCCGCCCCCUCCAUCACCUGAAUACGGGGACAAGUCCCCACCACCUCCCUCACCCGAAUACGUGUACAAGCCCCCACCCCCUCCAUCACCUGAAUACGGGGACAAGUCCCCACCACCUCCCUCACCCGAAUACGUGUACAAGCCCCCACCCCCUCCAUCACCUGAAUACGGGGACAAGUCCCCACCACCUCCCUCACCCGAAUACGUGUACAAGCCCCCACCCCCUCCAUCACCUGAAUACGGGGACAAGUCCCCACCACCUCCCUCACCCGAAUACGUGUACAAGCCCCCACCCCCUCCAUCACCUGAAUACGGGGACAAGUCCCCACCACCUCCCUCACCCGAAUACGUGUACAAGCCCCCACCCCCUCCAUCACCUGAAUACGGGGACAAGUCCCCACCACCUCCCUCACCCGAAUACGUGUACAAGCCCCCACCCCCUCCAUCACCUGAAUACGGGGACAAGUCCCCACCACCUCCCUCACCCGAAUACGUGUACAAGCCCCCACCCCCUCCAUCACCUGAAUACGGGGACAAGUCCCCACCACCUCCCUCACCCGAAUACGUGUACAAGCCCCCACCCCCUCCAUCACCUGAAUACGGGGACAAGUCCCCACCACCUCCCUCACCCGAAUACGUGUACAAGCCCCCACCCCCUCCAUCACCUGAAUACGGGGACAAGUCCCCACCACCUCCCUCACCCGAAUACGUGUACAAGCCCCCACCCCCUCCAUCACCUGAAUACGGGGACAAGUCCCCACCACCUCCCUCACCCGAAUACGUGUACAAGCCCCCACCCCCUCCAUCACCUGAAUACGGGGACAAGUCCCCACCACCUCCCUCACCCGAAUACGUGUACAAGCCCCCACCCCCUCCAUCACCUGAAUACGGGGACAAGUCCCCACCACCUCCCUCACCCGAAUACGUGUACAAGCCCCCACCCCCUCCAUCACCUGAAUACGUAUACAAGUCUCCACCACCUCCAUCACCGAAGUACGUGUAUAAAUCCCCACCACCGCCACCAUACUACUACAAUUCUCCUCCACCACCGUCGCCAUCUCCUCCUCCACCAUACUACUACAAGUCUCCACCACCACCGGAACCAUCUCCUCCACCACCAUACUACUACAAGUCUCCUCCCCCACCAUCACCGUCUCCUCCUCCACCAUACUACUACAAAUCCCCACCACCACCAUCCCCAUCGCCUCCUCCACCAUACUACUACAAGUCCCCACCACCACCAUCUCCAUCACCCCCACCUCCAUACUACUACAAAUCCCCACCUCCACCGUCACCGUCUCCUCCUCCACCAUACUACUACAAAUCACCACCACCCCCAUCACCAUCACCGCCACCUCCUUACUACUACCACUCUCCACCACCCCCAUCACCAUCACCCCCACCUCCUUACUACUACCACUCUCCACCACCACCAUCACCAUCUCCCCCUCCUCCUUACUACUAUCACUCCCCACCACCACCAUCACCAUCUCCCCCACCUCCUUACUACUACCACUCCCCACCUCCACCCGUGAAGUCUCCUCCUCCUCCAUACUACUACAACUCACCUCCCCCACCCGUAAAAUCACCUCCGCCUCCAGUAUACAUCUACACUUCUCCACCAC
This 32859-nucleotide long non-coding RNA is filed under the name Capsicum annuum. RNAcentral's name for it is "long non-coding RNA (CANN_LNC005796)". Lineage: Eukaryota; Viridiplantae; Streptophyta; Magnoliopsida; Solanales; Solanaceae. The record is from RNAcentral.